Molecule: long non-coding RNA, 1444 nt
Filed under: Hordeum vulgare
Lineage: Eukaryota; Viridiplantae; Streptophyta; Magnoliopsida; Poales; Poaceae
Description: long non-coding RNA (HVUL_LNC015741)
Source: RNAcentral
AUAAAUAUUAUGAUAUAUCAAAAUAAGAGAAAAUGGCAACGAAUCGACAGCCACCAAUUGCGCACACGCGCACAGACAGAGCAAACAACACAAAGGUCGUUGGAUGGACGGGUACGUCUCACACUUAUACCUCCCUCUCCCGCUAGAAAUGCAGUUUAUGGACUGAAAAUAGAACAAUAGAGAAUCAGAAAAUAUUAGCUUAAUUUCGAUGAACAUGCAGAUUGAAGUAUCAUUUAAAGUGGGUGAAUUAUUUGUAGAUAUGUUCUUUGUAGGUACAGAUAUCUUUCUCGAAAAUACAUACCAUUAUUGGGAGGUAUCAAAGUGUGUACGGAAAUGGAGACACCCAUAAAAAUGUAGUAAAGAUAGUGUAUCCUCUACCUUCAGGACUGCAAAGGGUAAAAAAGAACAGGAGCCUGAAUCAAGAAAGGUAUUAUUGGUUGUUCGUAUGCAUUAUGCUCUCAUAAUAGAGAAAGAGAAGAUGCUGAUGUCCUUACAUUUUUUAGUCACUUUGACAUUUUCCUGUUAAUCCAGAAAAAAUGAAGCAUCAGUUGUUGGAUCAUCACCAAUGGAGAACACCCCUCGGCAACAGAAAAUAAUGAUUACAAACUAAUUGCAGGCACACUGUUAUAAAAUCAUCACAAUAUGCAAUAUCAAAAGUACAUUUAAAACGUUUGAAGGAGGUACCCUUGAUGACACAAAUUUGCAGCAGUAGAACAUGUGAGAGCCAUUCAGCCACCGGAAAGCUAUGCAUAAUCUAAUUUCAUUGUUUGCUGACAUUCUCACAAAUAGCUCAUGUGCACAAUCUCAAUCAAUAAAUACAUUGGAAGUUGGAAGGAGGAAGCAGGGUAGGUGAUCUGUGUGGAGGAGUUGGGGAAUAUCGACAAUGAGCUCAUUGUUGCUCAUUUUGGAAUAUGUUGAUCAUAAGAGGUCAACUGCAGAUCAGACCAUGCGGAUGAACAUAGUGUCUGUAUUUUUCAAAUAGUACUAGAUCAUUCUUGCACGCAGGGAAAUAAGGAUGUUGGGUUCAUGCUAUUCAAGAAAGAUAGUCUCCUUGCUGCAACCUUCGACCUAUAAAACCAAGCGUUGAAUGCCUUCUUCAGGUCGGUGAAUACGGCGUGCUCCGACUAAAGCCACUACGACAGUACCUCAGUCCCCUCCCCUUGUUCCCUUUCCAUGGAGCCGCCACCCACGCUUCUUUACCCUGUCCUUUGUCCUGAUAUAGGUCGCAGCGAGAUCUGAUCUUCCACACGCAUCUCCGAGGCGGGGAUAGGUCACAUCGCGAUUGGAUCUCUAUGGCAGACUGGAUCCCCUCGUUCAGGCAGAAUUGGUAGAACCGUGAGGUCGAGUCAUUGUGUCCUCUGCCGCGGGCAAUGGAGACCUUCGGGGAAGCCACUAACAGCGGCAACCUCCACACGACCUUCUCAAAUAAAACAUCAUGAUUUUC